Long non-coding RNA from Gopherus evgoodei (Goodes thornscrub tortoise), 5240 nucleotides. RefSeq lists it as uncharacterized. The transcript is spliced from 3 exons. The record is from RefSeq and is a predicted model, not a curated record. NCBI's taxonomy places the organism in Eukaryota, Metazoa, Chordata, Testudines, Testudinidae.
UUGCGGGGCAGCGGCAGCGGAGCCUCUGCGUGGGACGACGGCUGGGCCCCGCCCGCGAGCGCGAGUAACCGCUCCCGCACCUUGAUUGGCUGGGAUCACGCGCCAGCCGCUGCAGGAACUGGUCCCCAGAAGUGAGUGUUCACUAGUACAUAUGGAGGCUUCAUUCCUGCGCUUUGCUCCUCUCUAGAACAGCCUGCUGUAACAAACAGGUAGGUGAACCUCUCUCUAUGAGGCACUUAGCUCAAAAUGUACAAACUUGAUGCCUAAAUCCAUACCUGGGCAGCUAAAUAAAAGCCUGGGGGCCUUUCCCACAGUGCUGAAUGUGGACUUUGUUGGGAGCUAGAGGUGCUCAGUUCCUCUGAAAGUCAGGUCACUGAUUUUGGUACCUAAAAAUGUAUGUAAGUGCCUAACUUUAUUCAGCCAUGUUGGAAAAUGUUGGUCUAGGAAUGGAAAAUUGAGAUACUGGCUGCCAAAAGUAAAUGUUAGAAAAUACAGAAUAUUCUGAAGUUCGUAUGGAAGUCAACAGGGGAAUGCAAAUAGGAGCUGUUGCUGUGGAGUAGAACCUGGACACUAAGGGCUUGUCUUCACAAGGGAGUUAGUGCAGAGCAGACUAGGGCGUGACUUUACAGCACAUUAGCUUCUCUGCAUGAAGUCUUGUGAUGGGGUGAACCACGCCCUCUGAGGCCAUCUGCUGAAAGCUUUGUGUUCCUACCACACCUGUCCCAGAAAGUAGCAGUGGACAUAAGUCCUCCAAGCUGCAUAGAGAGGUUGCAGGAGAAGCAGCCAAUCAGAGAGAGGCUGCAGGGAGCAGCCAGUCAGGGCCCAGCAGGCUCACAUAAAAGGAGCUGUCGAGCCAGAGACAAUGAGUUGCUGCCUAGAGCCUGGGGAGCUAGGAUGGUGUUCCUGGCUGGCUGGCUGAAGAAGCAGCAGGACUGUGAAUAGAGCAGUUGCUGGCAGGGACCAGGGGAGCAAGAAGGAACUCCUGGCUGGCUGCCGGGACUCAGUACAAGACGUCAGUCCUACGGUAAGGGUGAAGUGUGUGUGAAGGUGCUGGGGCUGUGAGGAAGGGGAACUAAACUAUUUAAUGGCCUACCUGGAGAGCUGGGGCCAGAAAGAGUUAAGAGUCUCCAAGGAGGAAGCCCUGUAGGUAUGGCCUCAUACCAGAGUCAAGGGACUGCUGGAAGGCUAGCCCAGAAGGGGCUGCAGGACUGAAUAAGGACUGAGACAAGGGAGGGCUGCAGGAAGACACCAAUGGAAAAAGGGUACUGGGAUAGGCCCUUGUUGGACUGUUUAUCCCAGAAGGGGUGUUUUGGUUUGUGCUUCACAUGCACACUGUGUGAGACUCGGCCGGAGGGCUGAGUCACUGAAGACCUACUGCAAUCCCAGAGAGAGAGAAUGCAGGCACACGCACUCGGACAGUUGGGGCUUGCAAGAGGUGAGUGCCACCCUGUUACAAGUCCCUGUGUGGACAUUAUUGCACAGUAAAAGUGCCUUUAGACAGGUUAGCUUAAUACACUUUAUAGAGGCCAAUAAGCAAAGCAGCAUCAUGUAGUAAGAGACAAGAAGUGUGUCACUGGCUGGCUCUUUAAGGGGAAUGAGGCUCAGCUUUGCCAGUGACCAUUGAUCUCCAGCUAAUCUGAACUGUCUGAGAGAGUGAGAGGGUUGCCCAAAAGGCUGAGAGAGCGCCAUUAGGACACCUGGUGGCACUUAGAUAGGGUUGCCAACCCCCCAGGAUUGUCCUGGAGUCUCCAGGAAUUGAAGAUUAAGCUUUACUUAAAGAUUAUGCAAUGUGAUGAAACCUCCAGGAAUACGUCCAGCCAAAACUGGCAACUCUACACCUAGAGGAUAAGGCCCAAUUAAAGAUGAAUCCCAGCUGUGGGAGGAGCUGGGUGGUUACUAUAAAGAGAGGAAGCCCAGAACAGAAAGGAGCUGCAGGGAGAGAGGGAAAGAACUCUCCAAUGCCUCUCUUGGCAGUAGAGAGUGGAGCCAGGGCAGACAUGGAGAAGCCACUAAGAUGAAGCAGCCUUUGGUGGUGAACCCUGAUAAAAGGGCAGAGACCAGGCCUACAGCCAGGAACCCAUGGGAGGGGUUCAUCCGAGGAACAGAGUAUGGGGGAAACUCAAGAGGGAUGAAGGUUCAAGACUGAGGAGGGUAGUCAUGGUUUAAAAUUUAUAUUUUCAUUUGGGAUUGAUUGGGGUAUUACAGGAUCCCUGAAAGAAGGGUGACCCUGGGAGGAUAGUCAUGAAGCCCUGAGACAAAAGGGUAUCUGAGACGUUAACACAAUGUCAUUAAACUGUUAGUUGGAUUUCUGUUUAUUGGAGUCUAUUGUUACAUCAGAAGGGCUGAGAUUUUCCAGUGAUCUGAUGGUAGGGCUGAGUCACAAGAAGAGAGAGACCACUGUUGUCAGGGGGGUGCUAGAUGAAUCUGCUACACCACAUCCUGCCAUAAGUGGACACACCAGCAGGGAGUUCACUCUUCUGCAAAGUGCUAUAUGGAACGACCCUCUGUGAUGACCUUGAGCUAAGGUCACCUGGGACAAAUCAGACUCACACUCCUUUCCCUUUCCUGGGCCUAUCUGUCCAAUUUAUGGGCCAGGCAAUAAAGUGUUAAAGGCCUGGAAAAUCAAGGCAGCUGGAAUAUGUCAGUCUACCAGGCCCAGCUGCUUCAUGUGCUAAGGAGGAAGAGGAAGACAGCAGCAGAGUGAGGAAGAUGCUACCCUGGCCAGAGUGGAGAGUGGGCUGUUCAGACUGAGAAGACCUUUUGGUAUUUUGAGCUUCUUUGUUUCCUGGAAGGGCAGCUCUUUAUUUUGGGUACGUAAGAGCUCACAAUGUGACACUCCUGAAGAAACCCAAGGCCAUCUCAUUGGGUGGAACAUGUGUAGUAUCCUGUUUAUGAGCAAAGAUCAUGAGGGCUUCAUAAAUACAACAUGUAAGUGGUAUUUGUUCUGGAGGAAAGGUGGAAGGGAAGUUGAAAUCACUGAAAGAUUCAGGAACCCUAAUCAGAUUGUGACCAAAGGGAAUGAUUAUUAGAAGACUCUUUUGAUGGGAGAGAGGUGGAAAAGGAAGGAAGAUGGAGGGAUGUGAAUGAGCAACCUUAAUUCUGGUAUUAACUAACUUUUGAGUGCUUGACUUUGAAACCUUAAUGCUCUUUUAAUGUAAAUUUUUGGAUGCCGUUUUCUAAAACUUUCUAAAACAAAACUUUAAAAUUUAAAAUAAGAAAAAUUAUCACAUGGGAACAGAUUGAUCGCUGCCACGGGGUCCACUCGUCACAGGUGGUGCUGCCUCUUUGCUGCUCUGAGGAGUAGUUCUUCCCAUACCCAAGGCCCUCUUCUGCUGCUCACUGCACACCCAGCUACCGCUCCCUCUCUCACUCUCUGUGGCUCAGGGUGCUCCCUCUCUAUGACUUGGCCCUCCAGCCAGGUCACUGUGCAUGUUUCCUCCUUCCAGGUAUCGGAGUCUUUCCUUACCAGAAGUUUCAGGCAGUCUUCCCAUUCGCUGCCCUAUGGUGCCGCUUCCCCAAUGGCUGGUAGAGGAAUCCAGGCCCACCCUCUACUCUGGGUUUUGGCUCAGGGACUCUCUAAUCAGUAGACAAGGCCUGCACCAUCCUGAACCUUGCUGCCUUUUUCCUGAGCCUUUCCUACACACCUAGCUCCCCCACUCUGGGUUUACCAGGCCAAACUCCCUCCUCUCAGGGAGUAACUGCAGACUAAUUUCUAUAGCCCCAAACAUACCUCCCUUCCCCCAGGGAGUAACUGCAGACGACUUCCCUGCAGCCUCUUUCUGCCACCAGCUCCCGGGCUUUAUAGAUGCCUCUUCUGUUUCUACACAGGUGAGCUUCCCCUAAUUAGAGCUUUCCUUUCAACCUAAUAAGUGAAUUGGCCCCUCUGUUAACCCCUUCAAGGUGAGUGUGGGGGGCACACCCUGUCACAAUCCCCCACAUGGCUCAUGAGCAAGGGUGAGACCUUUAGAUUCACAGCCCAGUCUUCUGCCAUUUGAGCUAACAGAGUAACGGAGCAGUAGAAGGCUGUUAUCUAUCUACUGUGUGGACCUGCCAUCACAUAUGGGUUUCAUGCCUCUUUGCUGACAACAAAGGAAUGCCAAGGCUCAGGAAUCCAGGUUUAAUUCUAGAUUUGGGGGGGGGGGUAAUGUGCAGUGGUGGCAGACCAUUCUGCCUCUCGCCUCACUUUUUCCUGUCCCAUUCUGCUCCUGCCUUUACCUCUGACCAGCUCUAGCCACCCCUUUUUUGUCCCCAGCUCCUGCCCAUGGUUCCCCUAACCCCUGUCUCUAUCUUUCCCCCAGUCUUCUCCUUCCCCUUUUCCUCACUCUUGCUUCUAUCCCCCUUCUGGUCUUCUUCCCUCCUCUGUCUCUGACUCUUCCCCCUUGUUCUUGCCUCUAUCCCCCAUUCUGGUUCCUGCUCCCACCCUUAUCACACACCCCCCACCUCAGCUCGCCUCAUUUGAAUAAGGGACUUUCCUUCCCCUCUUCCUCCUCACUGUCUAGACACCAGCAGGGAGGCAUUGAGAGCACAGGAGAGAUGGUCUCCUUGAUUUCCCUCUGGUCCAGUGUCUGACAUCACAACAAUCUCUGGAAACCAGGACAGGAAAUCACAAGGAAGCCCUGCUCAGCCUGUGCAGGCCAGGGUGGAGCACACUCCAUCACUUUGUGGGAAUGUGUGUGUACAUAGGAGCAGGGAGGGGAUGGAGCAUGCUCAGUGCAGAUUGAAUCUUUGGAGAAUUUAGCUGCAAAACUCUAACAGGUCUCAACUGAGUAUGUGCAAACUGAGAUUUUUCAAAGACUUAAAAUUUGACCAAAUUUGUGUGGUUUGUGACGGCAGCGGCAAAAGACACACCCUUGCCACCAGGGUAUUUCCUCCUGCCAAUUUUAUGUCCCUUCUCCCAAGCAUAGUGGCACUAAAGUUUCUCGGCCAAAUAAUUGUAAAAAAACAAUUAACAUGGACAAAACAAUGCAUUUCCCCCCUCAUUAGCUGAAAUGUCUGAACUACUUUAUCUGAAAUUUUAAAUUAGCCUGAGACACAGACCUGGUACGGGUGAUUUCAGCCCAAAUGGUUUACUUCUGGCAAAGUUAUAAGCAACUGAAACAUAGUCUUAUAAUAGAAAAUGGUGGGCAACCUUCAGCAUAGGUGCCAACUUCCCCCUCUGCCCUGUGUGUGCUCGACCCCACCCUGGCCCUACCCUUGCCUGCCCGUGCACCACCGUCACCCUGCCCCAAUUCCACCCCCUC